UGAGGAAUAUUGGACAAUGGGCGCAAGCCUGAUCCAGCCAUGCCGCGUGCAGGAUGACGGUCCUAUUGGAUUGUAAACUGCUUUUGCACAGGAAGAAACAACAUUACGUGUAAUGUCUUGACGGUACUGUGAGAAUAAGGAUCGGCUAACUCCGUGCCAGCAGCCGCGGUAAUACGGAGGAUCCAAGCGUUAUCCGGAAUCAUUGGGUUUAAAGGGUCCGUAGGCGGUUUAGUAAGUCAGUGGUGAAAGCCCAUCGCUCAACGGUGGAACGGCCAUUGAUACUGCUAGACUUGAAUUAUUAGGAAGUAACUAGAAUAUGUAGUGUAGCGGUGAAAUGCUUAGAGAUUACAUGGAAUACCAAUUGCGAAGGCAGGCUACUACUAAUGGAUUGACGCUGAUGGACGAAAGCGUGGGUAGCGAACAGGAUUAGAUACCCUGGUAGUCCACGCCGUAAACGAUGGAUACCAGCUGUUGGGAGCAAUCUCAGUGGCUAAGCGAAAGUGAUAAGUAUCCCACCUGGGGGAGUACGUU
RNAcentral lists this ribosomal RNA (531 nucleotides) under uncultured bacterium. Its description in RNAcentral is "partial 16S ribosomal RNA". It matches the Rfam family "Bacterial small subunit ribosomal RNA", at positions 355 to 886 of the family's 1533-position model. The record is from RNAcentral.